UGGGGAAUUUUGCGCAAUGGGGGCAACCCUGACGCAGCAACGCCGCGUGCGGGACGAAGGCCUUCGGGUUGUAAACCGCUUUCAGCAGGGAAGACAUCGACGGUACCUGCAGAAGAAGCCCCGGCUAAAUACGUGCCAGCAGCCGCGGUAAUACGUAUGGGGCGAGCGUUAUCCGGAUUCAUUGGGCGUAAAGCGCGCGUAGGCGGCUCGCCAAGCGGGACCUCCAAUCCCGGGGCUCAACCCCGGGCCGGGUCCCGAACUGGCGGGCUCGAAUCAGGUAGGGGGAGGCGGAAUUCCCGGUGUAGCGGUGAAAUGCGCAGAUAUCGGGAAGAACACCGAUGGCGAAGGCAGCCUCCUGGGCCUCGAUUGACGCUGAGGUGCGAAAGCCGGGGGAGCGAACAGG
This 403-nucleotide ribosomal RNA is filed under the name uncultured prokaryote. RNAcentral's name for it is "bacterial SSU rRNA". It matches the Rfam family "Bacterial small subunit ribosomal RNA", at positions 355 to 776 of the family's 1533-position model. RNAcentral also lists the same sequence under 1 other name. The record is from RNAcentral.